GGCCCGCACAAGCGGUGGAGUAUGUGGUUUAAUUCGACGCAACGCGCAGAACCUUACCCAGUCUUGACAUCCUACGAAUCUGAUAGAAGUAUCGGAGUGCCUCCGCAAGGAGGAAUGUAGUGACAGGUGCUGCAUGGCUGUCGUCAGCUCGUGUCGUGAGAUGUUCGGUUAAGUCCGGUAACGAGCGCAACCCCUAUCCUUAGUUACAAAAUGGACUCUAAGGAGACUGCCGGUGUCAAACCGGAGGAAGGUGGGGACGACGUCAAGUCCUCAUGGCCCUUACGACUGGGGCUACACACGUACUACAAUGGCAACUACAAUGGGCAGCGAAAUCGCGAGAUGGAGCUAAUCCCCAAAGUUGCCUCAGUUCGGAUUGGAGUCUGCAACUCGACUCCAUGAAGUCGGAAUCGCUAGUAA
This 417-nucleotide ribosomal RNA is filed under the name uncultured bacterium. Its description in RNAcentral is "bacterial SSU rRNA". It matches the Rfam family "Bacterial small subunit ribosomal RNA", at positions 918 to 1341 of the family's 1533-position model. The record is from RNAcentral.